GAUGAAGAACGUAGUGAAAUGCGAUACUUGGUGUGAAUUGCAGAAUCCCGUGAACCAUCGAGUCUUUGAACGCAAGUUGCGCCCGAAGCCAUUAGGCCGAGGGCACGCCUGCCUGGGCGUCACACGUCGUUGCCCCCCCAUCUACUCCUUCGGGAUUGCGGGGGGCGGAUGAUGGCCUCCCGUGCGCCUCGUCGCGCGGUUGGCAUAAAUGCCAAGUCCUCGGCGACACACGCCACGACAAUCGGUGGUUGCGAAACCUCGGUUGCCCGUCGUGUGCGGUCGUCGCGCAUCGAGGGCUCGAAAAAAUUGCCGGGCUCCGGCUCGGCUUUCAACGCGACCCCAGGUCAGGCGGGGUUACCCGCUGAAUUUAAGCAUAUCAAUAAGCGGAGGA
RNAcentral lists this unclassified non-coding RNA (391 nucleotides) under soil metagenome. RNAcentral's name for it is "partial contains 5.8S ribosomal RNA, internal transcribed spacer 2, and large subunit ribosomal RNA". The stretch from base 1 to 122 matches the Rfam family "5.8S ribosomal RNA", at positions 35 to 154 of the family's 154-position model. The record is from RNAcentral.